GUUCAAUGUCUGACCUCUAGUUAGAAAAAUGACCUUCCUUGAGAGGGAGAACCAUUAGUUAUCAAAGAUUCACAUAGUUCUGUUGUAAUUAAACUUCUAUAUUAAAAGUGGUAAGAAAAGUAACUAAAGACCAACAUUAAAUCUGUUUUUAAAAAAAGCAAGAAGCAAUGGCUGGCUGAUGGUUAAAUGAAUGUUAAUGAAAGAAUGUUAUUAUAAUCUGCAUGGCCUAUUUUAAAGCUUAAGCAUGUUACACAUUAUUUUAUCAAAGAUUGUUAAAAUAAUAUUAAUAGCUUUAGACUUUAGAGGAAUAAAUGUUUUUGACUAAAAAACAUUUCAAUAGAAUAC
Molecule: long non-coding RNA, 345 nt
Filed under: Bos taurus (domestic cattle)
Lineage: Eukaryota; Metazoa; Chordata; Mammalia; Artiodactyla; Bovidae
Description: long non-coding RNA NONBTAT018316
Source: RNAcentral